GACGAAGGGGGCUAGCGUUGUUCGGAAUUACUGGGCGUAAAGCGAGUGUAGGUGGUUGUCCAAGUUGGAUGUGAAAGCCUUGAGCUCAACUCAAGAAAUGCAUUCAGGACUGGGCGGCUAGAGGACCGGAGAGGAUAGUGGAAUUCCCAGUGUAGUGGUGAAAUACGCAGAGAUUGGGAAGAACACCAGUGGCGAAGGCGGCUAUCUGGACGGUUUCUGACACUAAUACUCGAAAGCGUGGGGAGCAAACGGG
Molecule: ribosomal RNA, 253 nt
Filed under: uncultured bacterium
Lineage: Bacteria
Description: partial 16S ribosomal RNA
Rfam family: Bacterial small subunit ribosomal RNA
Source: RNAcentral